RNAcentral lists this microRNA (21 nucleotides) under Marchantia polymorpha subsp. ruderalis. The record is from RNAcentral. Lineage: Eukaryota; Viridiplantae; Streptophyta; Marchantiopsida; Marchantiales; Marchantiaceae.
UGCACUGACAAGAACGCAGGA